GGGAAAAGUUGAGUCCGUGAGAGUGGUUGGAGGAGAGAUGUGUGUCAGUUAGGAAUGGCUCAGGAUUGUUAGGAUGGGUUACAUCAGCGAACGACCGGACUUAUCAACUAUUGAAUCGAUUUUUAUCCUCUUCCAAUUUCUCUAUUUAAAACCCACUGCCCCUCUCUAUUAAUCCAUCACCAAAGCCCUACCUCUCCCUUUCCCUUCUUCUUCAUCUCCGACAGCCAUCGGACUAUUGUAAUCGAG
This 246-nucleotide long non-coding RNA is filed under the name Elaeis guineensis (African oil palm). RNAcentral's name for it is "long non-coding RNA (EGUI_LNC029556)". The record is from RNAcentral. Lineage: Eukaryota; Viridiplantae; Streptophyta; Magnoliopsida; Arecales; Arecaceae.